AGAUGGAAAAAUUGAAGGACAAAAUAUAAAUGACUUUCCAAUGGUCUUCCAGGAAGAUGGUAACAAGUUCAGCGCAAACUCAGAACUCUCAACUUCCAGGAAUCAGAAAUUGAAGAGAAGGCUGGCAUAUGAUGAGCAAGGCUUCAUUUAUUGUAAUGGCUGUCAUGGGAGUGUCAUGUAUUGCUUGAUUUUCAUCUUGUGAAGAAACUUGCUUGACUUUUGACAUUUGCGUACAAGUGGAUGGAUGUGAUGAUAAACAACUGAACCAAUUUCUUUUACCUUGAAAGCUGCUGCCAAGUUCGAUCCUGCAAUGCAUGGGAAGUUAAUGGAAAGCUAUAUAUCAGUACCAACAGUGUGGUAACACAAGAUGAAACCAGGGAAUUCUCAGUGUCAGCUUUAAUUCCUCCAGCGAGAUAAGGUCUCUUCUCACUUACCGUCCAAAGUAUGUUUUAAAAAAAAUCAGGUUCCCAAGGUCAACCAUGGUUUGGCAUUACUGUGUUAAUUUCCGAACAAUAUAAUUGCAGAACAAACAAAGUUAUAGGUCCUCAUUCUGCAGCCUGAUCCAUGAAGGCAGAUCUAUGUGGAACCUCAUUGACUUCAGUGUCAUUUCAUGUAGAGAAUAAGGAUCUCCCCAAACAAAUCAGUUUGCCGGUUCCAUAUCUUAAUUAUUUGCACAGAAAUUCUGUUUGGGGCUUUUGGCUGCUACACAGUAUAACUAGGGACACCUGAGUCCAAUUAAGGGCUGCUUGUGUCUCUUAAAAACUCCUUUUCUGUUGAGAGAGAUGAGAGAGAAGCUGCAGCAGGGAGAAAAGGCUUGGGGAAGGAAGGAUGGGCACCCAGAAGAGAAGCUGGUAUAACAUGGCAACACCCCAGAGGGAAGACAAGGAAAGGGAGCUUUUAGUCACAUUUGUUGUAGAAAAGAGUAAAUCUGUUUGCACACCAGCAAGAGCCACAGAUGUUUUCUGGUAUUGAUCUUCAGCAAUAAUGAUUUUUAAGCAUUGAAGAAGUGCAUAUGGGGAUGUUGUGUGAAGGCUCGGGGGAAAAAACAUAGAAGAAACAAGAGGCUAGAAUUCCACGAAGACUGCCAGCAGUCGGCACAGCUUUCAUCUUGCACAAGUACGGUAGGCUUGUGUUUGCAAAACCUCAUGAUUUAUUUAGAAUUUUAAUUAAAGAAAAGAAGUUAUUGGAACAGCACCUAGCAUCUGCUGAGCAUGGCUAAUGAUUUUUACAACCUCAUCUGCAGGCAUUGCAUUAAAGGAGUUAACCAUGACAUGAGACACACCUGAAGCAAAUCAGUGAGGGAAAACAAACCUUGCCUGCAGCUAUCACUAAUACAAGAGAUGGUGUCUAUUUUUUAAAAAAAUCUUAUCCUAUUUGCAUACAAGUGUUGUAGCUUCAGGGCCCAAUCUGAAGUGCCCAGGAAUAAGCAUCAUUACAUGCUGAUGAGUUUGUGCAGCAUUUUGGCCUCUGGAUGUU
Molecule: long non-coding RNA, 1476 nt
Organism: Dermochelys coriacea (leatherback sea turtle)
Lineage: Eukaryota; Metazoa; Chordata; Testudines; Dermochelyidae
Exons: 3
Source: RefSeq, a predicted model, not a curated record